RNAcentral lists this non-coding RNA (21 nucleotides) under Caenorhabditis elegans. The record is from RNAcentral. Lineage: Eukaryota; Metazoa; Nematoda; Chromadorea; Rhabditida; Rhabditidae.
UAAAGUAUCAACAUUAAAUUU